GGGGUUGUGGCUCAGUGGUAAAGUGCCCGCCUAGCAUGUGCGAGGUCCUGGGUUCAAUCCUCAGCACCACG
Molecule: transfer RNA, 71 nt
Filed under: Marmota monax (woodchuck)
Lineage: Eukaryota; Metazoa; Chordata; Mammalia; Rodentia; Sciuridae
Description: tRNA.Ala
Rfam family: tRNA
About the family: Transfer RNA (tRNA) molecules are approximately 80 nucleotides in length.
Source: RNAcentral